Molecule: microRNA, 25 nt
Filed under: Eisenia fetida (common brandling worm)
Lineage: Eukaryota; Metazoa; Annelida; Clitellata; Crassiclitellata; Lumbricidae
Description: Efe-Mir-10-P5b_5p (mature (guide))
Source: RNAcentral
UUACCCUGAAGAACCGGACAAGUGU